GACGAACCGUGCGAACGUUGUUCGGAUUUACUGGGCGUAAAGCGCACGUAGGCGGAUCGAUCAGUCAGGGGUGAAAUCCCAGAGCUCAACUCUGGAACUGCCUUUGAUACUGUCGAUCUGGAGUAUGGAAGAGGUGAGUGGAAUUCCGAGUGUAGAGGUGAAAUUCGUAGAUAUUCGCAAGAACACCAGUGGCGAAGGCGGCUCACUGGCCCGGUACUGACGCUGAGGCACGAAAGCGUGGGGAGCAAACAGG
Molecule: ribosomal RNA, 253 nt
Filed under: uncultured bacterium
Lineage: Bacteria
Description: partial 16S ribosomal RNA
Rfam family: Bacterial small subunit ribosomal RNA
Source: RNAcentral